This 213-nucleotide unclassified non-coding RNA is filed under the name Hevea brasiliensis (rubber tree). Lineage: Eukaryota; Viridiplantae; Streptophyta; Magnoliopsida; Malpighiales; Euphorbiaceae. The record is from RNAcentral.
UGGAGGUGCUUCUCGAGACAUGUCAGACUUCAGACCGUGACUAGUGUAAGCAUCAGGGUAAAAACAACUUUGGGCCUUUGGUGAUGUUCCCAUGUCUUCUGAUGAAGAAGUUGUAGGCAUAAUUGGGUUAGAUAGUGGAACAGCACCACCACCACCGCUAAGAGGUGUUGAUGAACCAGAUACAGCACGGGGGCUUGAUAUGGUAGAGGGGGA